GACGAACGCUGGCGGCGUGCUUAACACAUGCAAGUCGAACGGAAAGGCCCUGCUUUUGCGGGGUGCUCGAGUGGCGAACGGGUGAGUAACACGUGAGUAACCUGCCCUUGACUUUGGGAUAACUUCAGGAAACUGGGGCUAAUACAGGACAGGAGCUCCUGCUGCAUGGUGGGGGUUGGAAAGUUUCGGCGGUUGGGGAUGGACUCACGGCUUAUCAGCUUGUUGGUGGGGUAGUGGCGUACCAAGGCUUUGACGGGUAGCCGGCCUGAGAGGGUGACCGGCCACAUUGGGCCUGAGAUAGGGCCCAGACUGCUACGGGAGGCAGCAGUGGGGAAUAUUGCACAAUGGGCGGAAGCCUGAUGCAGCAACGCCGCGUGCUGGAUGACGGCCUUCGGGUUGUAAACCGCUUUCGCCUGUGACGAAGCGUGAGUGACGGUAAUGGGUAAAGAAGCACCGGCUAACUACGUG
Molecule: ribosomal RNA, 468 nt
Filed under: uncultured bacterium
Lineage: Bacteria
Description: partial 16S ribosomal RNA
Rfam family: Bacterial small subunit ribosomal RNA
Source: RNAcentral